Long non-coding RNA from Portunus trituberculatus (swimming crab), 890 nucleotides. RefSeq lists it as uncharacterized. The transcript has 3 exons. The record is from RefSeq and is a predicted model, not a curated record. NCBI's taxonomy places the organism in Eukaryota, Metazoa, Arthropoda, Malacostraca, Decapoda, Portunidae.
UCUAAUCCGUGCAAUAAUAACACAAAACGCUGGAGACUUGGAAGUGGUCAGGAUCCGGACUGAAGGAUUUCAGAAAGUGGUCCUGCGUUGAAUAGUCAAGUUUUGAAAGUGUGGCGGCUGUCCAGCGUGUCCGGUAUGUGGGAGACGUCCUUUGGUGACGAUGUGGGAGCUGAGUGGGCGUCCUCGAGGUAGCCGAGAGAGUAAGCAGGUUUUCCCACUUCUGCUGACGCUACGAAUGCGCGUGGGACAACCGGACAAGGGCAGUUAGGACGCCGUCAAGAGAUUUAAUUAAGGCACAGCGAGGAUGAGGAGACAAGCAGUGCCACAGAUGGUGAACAGCACACACAGGUUCAGUCGCCUGCCAAACCUGCAAAGAUAGAUGGAGUAAGCAGAGGGACAAAGACCAGCUAGGUGAAAGACCAGCAGGUGAGAGCCAAGUGACGUCUUGUGGUGGAAUACUGUGACACUGCAGGAAAAACAUCACAUAUGGUCAGGGUUAAGGGAGGCUAAAAUGACAAAGGAGAGAAAGGGAAAAGAUUUUAAAACUAUUAAAAUAAAAAGUAAAUUAAAUCCUUAAGUGAAUAUAGAAAAGAUAGAUCUGAUGGAGGAGGGGAAGAAAAAUAUUACAUAUGAAAAGUGGAUGUCAGUUGAGUUAAAGGAGGAAAGAAAAAUAUUUUGAUUUAAAAGACCAAAAAACUUAGGAUACUAAUUAUGACAAAAGCAAAAAACUAUUACACAGCAAUCAUGAAACAAAAGUGGAGUAAAAUUUUUAAAACCUGACGUCAAUGAAACAAAACAAAAUAAAUGAAAAAUAAAAAAAUUUUCUUAAUGGGAAUAACAAAUGUAAAGUCUUUGUAAAGACAAAAAAGAAAACCUUGAUUCUGAUAAGA